Molecule: ribosomal RNA, 467 nt
Filed under: uncultured bacterium
Lineage: Bacteria
Description: partial 16S ribosomal RNA
Rfam family: Bacterial small subunit ribosomal RNA
Source: RNAcentral
GAUGAACGCUGGCGGCGUGCUUAACACAUGCAAGUCGAACGGAAAGGCCCAAGCUUGCUUGGGUACUCGAGUGGCGAACGGGUGAGUAACACGUGGGUGAUCUGCCCUGCACUUCGGGAUAAGCCUGGGAAACUGGGUCUAAUACCGGAUAGGACCACUUCUUGGAUGUUGUGGUGGAAAGUUUUUUCGGUGUGGGAUGAGCUCGCGGCCUAUCAGCUUGUUGGUGGGGUAAUGGCCUACCAAGGCGUCGACGGGUAGCCGGCCUGAGAGGGUGUACGGCCACAUUGGGACUGAGAUACGGCCCAGACUCCUACGGGAGACAGCAGUGGGGAAUAUUGCACAAUGGGCGCAAGCCGGAUGCAGCGACGCCGCGUGGGGGAUGACGGCCUUCGGGUUGUAAACUCCUUUCGCUAGGGACGAAGCGUUUUGUGACGGUACCUGGAGAAGAAGCACCGGCUAACUACGUG